GACACUUAUCAAAUAUCCACAAACUUAAAUUCUUAUUCAUCCUGAGUAAUAUUACCUACUAAAUAUACAAGCAAACAAAUAAAAAUAUAAAUGCAUUAGAUAACUUUACCGAACUUGCAUCAAGUAUUGAAAUCGUUUGAAAUUUUACAAAAGGCUUAUAGUUGGAACGAAAAAUAAUUAUUUACUCAUUCAGUGCUCGAUCAAUAUGUGUGUGUAUAAUCAAUCUAAUAAUUAUGAGCUUUUAAAUUGAUUGUUUCUUGACCUUUAAUAGUCAAAUAUUUCCUCUCUCUCGUGGAAUACACACCCUUAAACUUAUUUUUCAAUCACAAAAUCGAUGUGCAUAUUUAAGGUUGAUUUUACAAUAAUCCCGCUAAUGUUUUGUCGGGUUUCACCAAUGAAAGUUACUAUCUCAAUAUGUGAUGAUUUUCCUUAAGUUUUAAUGUCUUAACCUCCAAGCUUCAACUAGGAUAAUAACCAUCACCAAAAGUCUAAAUUCGAAAUUCAGUAUCCAAGGUUUAGCCGGACAGAAACAAUGAUUAUAGUUGUUUUGCCACUACUUCAACACAUUUUGAUGUAUUUUUCUUUUCAUUUGUUUUUAUUGCGUCAAACCUUCUGCUUUUUGGGUCUUUUAUUUGAUUUUCGAAGAUAAUUUUCAUUCUAUAUUGCAGGCAGUCUUCUUCCUUGAUGGAUCUUCUCCUAAACAUAGGAGAUAAAUAAGGUUAGAUUAUUCAAGACUAGCUUCCCACAACAAUGUAGGUAACUUUUUUCCUACGUGCCAUGGCUUGAGCAAUG
RNAcentral lists this long non-coding RNA (792 nucleotides) under Olea europaea subsp. europaea. Lineage: Eukaryota; Viridiplantae; Streptophyta; Magnoliopsida; Lamiales; Oleaceae. The record is from RNAcentral.